RNAcentral lists this ribosomal RNA (3002 nucleotides) under Hydrogenedentes bacterium JGI 0000039-J10. RNAcentral describes it as "bacterial LSU rRNA". It matches the Rfam family "Bacterial large subunit ribosomal RNA". RNAcentral also lists the same sequence under 2 other names. Lineage: Bacteria; Pseudomonadati; Candidatus Hydrogenedentota. The record is from RNAcentral.
CUAAGGGCUUGUGGUGGAUGCCUUGGCACCGAGAGGCGAUGAAGGACGUAGCUACCUGCGAUAAGCCACGGGUAUCUGGAAGCAAGAUUAUCCGUGGAUCUCCGAAUGGGGCAACCCCACCGGUGAAUGCCGGUGAGCCUUUAGCUGAAAACAUAGGCUAAAGGCGGCUAACCCGGGGAAGUGAAACAUCUCAGUACCCGGAGGAAAAGAAAGCAAAACGCGACUCCGUGAGUAGUGGCGAGCGAAAACGGAUGAGCCUAAACCGCUGGCAUGUGAUAGGCCAGUUCCGUUAUGUCAGCGGGGUUGUGGGAUUAUCCCGGAGUGUGACUGGACACUCCAAGAGGUUACAAAACUGUCUCUUAGUGGAACACGACUGGAUAAGUCGGACCAUAGAAGGUGAUAGUCCUGUACACGAAAAGAGCACGGUCCUCUGGAUAAUAUCCCAAGUAACACGGGUUAAGUGGAAGCCUGUGUGAAUCCGGGAGAACCAUCUCCUAAGGCUAAGUACUCCUCGGUGACCGAUAGUGAACCAGUACCGUGAGGGAAAGGUGAAAAGCACCCCGAACAGGGGAGUGAAAUAGAACCUGAAACCACAUGCCUACAAUCAGUGAGAGGGCUAUGGAUGACCUCGGUCAUCAAUGCCUGAUCGCGUGCCUUUUGCAUAAUGAGCCGGCGAGUUACUUUGCGCAGCAAGGUUAAGGGCUUAUGGUCCGUAGCCGUAGCGAAAGCGAGUCCGAAUAGGGCGUUGAGUUGCGCUGAGUAGACCCGAAACCGUGUGAUCUACCCAUGGCCAGAGUGAAGUCCCUGUAACAGGGGAUGGAGGCUCGAACUAAUGGCGGUUGAAAACGCUUUGGAUGAGCUGUGGGUAGGGGUGAAAGGCUAAACAAACUCGGUUAUAGCUGGUUCUCCCCGAAAUGCCUUUAGGGGCAGCGUCGUGAAGUAGUCCGCGGGGGUAGAGCACUGGAUGGGCUAGGGGUCUCACCAGACUACUGAACCCAACCAAACUCCGAAUACCGCGGGUGGUAUCACGGCAGUGAGAACAUGGGGGAUAAGCUCCAUGCUCGAGAGGGAAACAACCCAGAUCGCCAGCUAAGGUCCCCAAUAUACGCUAAGUGGAAAACGAAGUGUAACCGCAAAAACAACCAGGAUGUUGGCUUAGAAGCAGCCAUUCAUUUAAAGAGUGCGUAAUAGCUCACUGGUCGAGCGGUUGUGCGCGGAAAAUGUAACGGGGCUUAAGCGUAUAACCGAAGCUGCGACUUGUCAUCCUCGGAUGGCAGGGGUAGGGGAGCAUUCUAUACGGGCUGAAGCAUGACCGAAAGGACAUGUGGACUGUAUGGAAGCGAUCAUGCCGGCAUUAGUAACGAUAAGGAAGGCGAGAAUCCUUCCCGCCGAAAGUCCAAGGGUUCCCGGGGUAGGUGAUUCCGCCCGGGGUUAGUCGGGCCCUAAGCCGAGGCCGAAAGGCGUAGGCGAUGGAAAGCAGGCACAAAGAUUCCUGCACCACCUCCCAACCGCUAUCAGCGAUGGGGUGACGCAGUAGGAUAAAGCCAGUGUCCAGGCGGUGGACAUCUGCGCAUAUAGGCUGUGACUCAGGCAAAUCCGGGUCACAUUAAAGCCGAGGUGCGUGGCAAGUGGAUCCUUCGGGUGAAGCAAGUGGCUUGAUUCCACACUGCCAAGAAAAACCUCUAGCGAGGUUGGAGGUGCCCGUACCGGAAACCGACACAGGUGGACGAGGAGAGUAUCCUAAGGCGCUCAGGUGAUCCACCCUUAAGGAACUCGACCAAUUGGCCCCGUAACUUUGGAAGAAGGGGUACUUCUGUCGUGUAAGGACUUGCUCCCGAAGCGAUAGGAGUGGCACUGAAGUGGCUCGGGCGACUGUUUAUCAAAAACACAGGUCUCUGCAAACUCGUAAGAGGAUGUAUAGGGACUGACGCCUGCCCGAUGCCGGAAGGUUAAGGGGAGGAGUUAGCGCAAGCGAAGCUCUGAACCGAAGCCCCGGUCAAUGGCGGCCGUAACUAUAACGGUCCUAAGGUAGCGAAAUUCCUUGUCGGGUAAGUUCCGACCUGCACGAAUGGCGUAACGAUCCGAGCAUUGUCUCAAGGGUGGGCCUGGUGAAGUUGUAAUACCUGUGCUGAUGCAGGUUACCCGCGAUAGGACGGAAAGACCCUGUGCACCUUUACUACAGCUUGGUAUUGGGUUUAGUUGAACUAUGUAUAGGAUAGGUGGGAGACUUCGAAGCCGGGGCGCUAGCUUCGGUGGAGUCGUCCUUGGAAUACCACCCUUAGUUUAAUUGAAUCCUAACUCCGAACCCGUGAAACCGGGCGGAGGACAGUGCCUGGCGGGUAGUUUGACUGGGGCGGUCGCCUCCCAAAAAGUAACGGAGGCGUCCCAAGGUUCCCUCAGCAUGUUUGGAAAUCAUGCGUAGAGUGCAAUGGCAUAAGGGAGCUUAACUGUGAGACCGACAGGUCGAGCAGAUGGGAAACCAGGGCAUAGUGAUCCAGCGGCUCUGUAUGGAAGGGCCGUUGCUCAUCGGACAAAAGGUACGCCGGGGAUAACAGGCUGAUCUCCCCCAAGAGUUCACAUCGACGGGGAGGUUUGGCACCUCGAUGUCGGCUCGUCACAUCCUGGGGCUGGAGCAGGUCCCAAGGGUUCGUCUGUUCGCCGAUUAAAGUGGCACGCGAGCUGGGUUCAGAACGUCGUGAGACAGUUCGGUCCCUAUCCAUCGCGGGCGUAGGAGACUUGAGGAAAUCUGCCCCUAGUACGAGAGGACCGGGGUGGACGGAUAUAGGGUGUUCCAGCUGUCACGCCAGUGGCACCGCUGGGUAGCCACGUCCGGACGGGAUAAGCGCUGAAAGCAUCUAAGUGCGAAGCCCCUUCCAAGAUGAGGUCUCCCUUAGCCGUAAGGCUACUAAAGAGCCCUGGAAGACUACCAGGUUGAUAGGCUGGAGGUGUAAGCAUGGCAACAUGUUAAGCCGACCAGUACUAAUAGCUCGUGCGGCUUGGUC